RNAcentral lists this ribosomal RNA (523 nucleotides) under Streptomyces caniscabiei. Its description in RNAcentral is "partial 23S ribosomal RNA". It matches the Rfam family "Bacterial large subunit ribosomal RNA", at positions 689 to 1209 of the family's 2925-position model. The record is from RNAcentral. Lineage: Bacteria; Bacillati; Actinomycetota; Actinomycetes; Kitasatosporales; Streptomycetaceae.
AGGGCGUUUUAGUAGCACGCUCAAGACCCGAAGCGGAGUGAUCUAGCCAUGGGCAGGUUGAAGCGGAGGUAAGACUUCGUGGAGGACCGAACCCACCAGGGUUGAAAACCUGGGGGAUGACCUGUGGUUAGGGGUGAAAGGCCAAUCAAACUCCGUGAUAGCUGGUUCUCCCCGAAAUGCAUUUAGGUGCAGCGUCGUGUGUUUCUUGCCGGAGGUAGAGCACUGGAUAGGCGAUGGGCCCUACCGGGUUACUGACCUUAGCCAAACUCCGAAUGCCGGUAAGUGAGAGCGCGGCAGUGAGACUGUGGGGGAUAAGCUCCAUGGUCGAGAGGGAAACAGCCCAGAGCAUCGACUAAGGCCCCUAAGCGUACGCUAAGUGGGAAAGGAUGUGGAGUCGCAGAGACAACCAGGAGGUUGGCUUAGAAGCAGCCACCCUUGAAAGAGUGCGUAAUAGCUCACUGGUCUAGUGAUUCCGCGCCGACAAUGUAGCGGGGCUCAAGCGUACCGCCGAAGUCGUGUCAUU